CGUGUAGGCGGCCUGUUAAGUCAGGUGUGAAAUUUCAGGGCUUAACCCUGAAACUGCGUUUGAAACUGGCAGGCUUGAGGACAGGAGAGGGAAGUGGAAUUCCCGGUGUAGCGGUGGAAUGCGUAGAUAUCGGGAGGAACACCAGUGGCGAAGGCGGCUUCCUGGACUGUACCUGACGCUGAGGCGCGAAAGCUAGGGGAGCAAACA
This 207-nucleotide ribosomal RNA is filed under the name uncultured bacterium. Its description in RNAcentral is "partial 16S ribosomal RNA". It matches the Rfam family "Bacterial small subunit ribosomal RNA", at positions 568 to 774 of the family's 1533-position model. The record is from RNAcentral.